UAACUGAAUCCAUAGGUUAAUGAGGCGAACCGGGGGAACUGAAACAUCUAAGUACCCCGAGGAAAAGAAAUCAACCGAGAUUCCCCCAGUAGCGGCGAGCGAACGGGGAGGAGCCCAGAGCCUGAAUCAGCAUGUGUGUUAGUGGAAGCGUCUGGAAAGGCGCGCGAUACAGGGUGACAGCCCCGUACACAAAAGCGCAUGUGCUGUGAGCUCGAUGAGUAGGGCGGGACACGUGGUAUCCUGUCUGAAUAUGGGGGGACCAUCCUCCAAGGCUAAAUACUCCUGACUGACCGAUAGUGAACCAGUACCGUGAGGGAAAGGCGAAAAGAACCCCGGCGAGGGGAGUGAAAAAGAACCUGAAACCGUGUACGUACAAGCAGUGGGAGCACCCUUUGGGUGUGACUGCGUACCUUUUGUAUAAUGGGUCAGCGACUUAUAUUCUGUAGCAAGGUUAACCGAAUAGGGGAGCCGGAGGGAAACCGAGUCUUAAUUGGGCGUUAAGUUGCAGGGUAUAGACCCGAAACCCGGUGAUCUAGCCAUGGGCAGGUUGAAGGUUGGGUAACACUAACUGGAGGACCGAACCGACUAAUGUUGAAAAAUUAGCGGAUGACCUGUGGCUGGGGGUGAAAGGCCAAUCAAACCGGGAGAUAGCUGGUUCUCCCCGAAAGCUAUUUAGGUAGCGCCUCGUGAAUUCAUCUCCGGGGGUAGAGCACUGUUUCGGCUAGGGGGCCAUCCCGGCUUACCAACCCGAUGCAAACUGCGAAUACCGGAGAAUGUUAUCACGGGAGACACACGGCGGGUGCUAACGUCCGUCGUGAAGAGGGAAACAACCCAGACCGCCAGCUAAGGUCCCAAAGUCAUGGUUAAGUGGGAAACGAUGUGGGAAGGCCCAGACAGCCAGGAUGUUGGCUUAGAAGCAGCCAUCAUUUAAAGAAAGCGUAAUAGCUCACUGGUCGAGUCGGCCUGCGCGGAAGAUGUAACGGGGCUAAACCAUGCACCGAAGCUGCGGCAGCGACACUGUGUGUUGUUGGGUAGGGGAGCGUUCUGUAAGCCUGCGAAGGUGGCCUGUGAGGGUUGCUGGAGGUAUCAGAAGUGCGAAUGCUGACAUAAGUAACGAUAAAGCGGGUGAAAAGCCCGCUCGCCGGAAGACCAAGGGUUCCUGUCCAACGUUAAUCGGGGCAGGGUGAGUCGACCCCUAAGGCGAGGCCGAAAGGCGUAGUCGAUGGGAAACGGGUUAAUAUUCCCGUACUUGGUGUUACUGCGAAGGGGGGACGGAGAAGGCUAUGUUGGCCGGGCGACGGUUGUCCCGGUUUAAGCGUGUAGGCUGGUUUUCCAGGCAAAUCCGGAAAAUCAAGGCUGAGGCGUGAUGACGAGGCACUACGGUGCUGAAGCAACAAAUGCCCUGCUUCCAGGAAAAGCCUCUAAGCAUCAGGUAACAUCAAAUCGUACCCCAAACCGACACAGGUGGUCAGGUAGAGAAUACCAAGGCGCUUGAGAGAACUCGGGUGAAGGAACUAGGCAAAAUGGUGCCGUAACUUCGGGAGAAGGCACGCUGACACGUAGGUGAAGUGAUUUACUCAUGGAGCUGAAGUCAGUCGAAGAUACCAGCUGGCUGCAACUGUUUAUUAAAAACACAGCACUGUGCAAACACGAAAGUGGACGUAUACGGUGUGACGCCUGCCCGGUGCCGGAAGGUUAAUUGAUGGGGUCAGCGCAAGCGAAGCUCCUGAUCGAAGCCCCGGUAAACGGCGGCCGUAACUAUAACGGUCCUAAGGUAGCGAAAUUCCUUGUCGGGUAAGUUCCGACCUGCACGAAUGGCGUAAUGAUGGCCAGGCUGUCUCCACCCGAGACUCAGUGAAAUUGAACUCGCUGUGAAGAUGCAGUGUACCCGCGGCAAGACGGAAAGACCCCGUGAACCUUUACUAUAGCUUGACACUGAACAUUGAGCCUUGAUGUGUAGGAUAGGUGGGAGGCUUUGAAGUGUGGACGCCAGUCUGCAUGGAGCCGACCUUGAAAUACCACCCUUUAAUGUUUGAUGUUCUAACGUGGACCCGUUACCCGGGUUGCGGACAGUGUCUGGUGGGUAGUUUGACUGGGGCGGUCUCCUCCUAAAGAGUAACGGAGGAGCACGAAGGUUGGCUAAUCCUGGUCGGACAUCAGGAGGUUAGUGCAAUGGCAUAAGCCAGCUUGACUGCGAGCGUGACGGCGCGAGCAGGUGCGAAAGCAGGUCAUAGUGAUCCGGUGGUUCUGAAUGGAAGGGCCAUCGCUCAACGGAUAAAAGGUACUCCGGGGAUAACAGGCUGAUACCGCCCAAGAGUUCAUAUCGACGGCGGUGUUUGGCACCUCGAUGUCGGCUCAUCACAUCCUGGGGCUGAAGUAGGUCCCAAGGGUAUGGCUGUUCGCCAUUUAAAGUGGUACGCGAGCUGGGUUUAGAACGUCGUGAGACAGUUCGGUCCCUAUCUGCCGUGGGCGCUGGAGAACUGAGGGGGGCUGCUCCUAGUACGAGAGGACCGGAGUGGACGCAUCACUGGUGUUCGGGUUGUCAUGCCAAUGGCACUGCCCGGUAGCUAAAUGCGGAAGAGAUAAGUGCUGAAAGCAUCUAAGCACGAAACUUGCCCCGA
RNAcentral lists this ribosomal RNA (2621 nucleotides) under Salmonella enterica subsp. enterica serovar Enteritidis. RNAcentral describes it as "partial 23S ribosomal RNA". It matches the Rfam family "Bacterial large subunit ribosomal RNA". Lineage: Bacteria; Pseudomonadati; Pseudomonadota; Gammaproteobacteria; Enterobacterales; Enterobacteriaceae. The record is from RNAcentral.